Molecule: long non-coding RNA, 486 nt
Organism: Solanum tuberosum (potato)
Lineage: Eukaryota; Viridiplantae; Streptophyta; Magnoliopsida; Solanales; Solanaceae
Exons: 2
Source: RefSeq, a predicted model, not a curated record
AGGCUUUGAUUGCACCUGCAAUGCCCAGCACUACGGCAAGAGCUGGUGGGUAUUUUUGCCUAUUAUUAAAUCUCUCACUUUCAGCUGGAAGUAAGCGUGGUGAUCCCUCCUCCAGGAAGCUAGGAUCUUACUUGAUUCAAUCUCAAUUUCAGGCAAUUGUGACGACUUCCCCGUUCACGCCUCCACUACGUAUUCCUCCAGUUGUGUAAGCCUUUGUAAUAUGGAGAAAAGAGACAGCCCCUUCAGCAACGAGUCUCUGUUGGUCAAUGUUGCAAAGCUGGAGACGGUAGGAUAUCUUUAGAUGCCUUGUUGUUCAGUAAUUUAUGGAUCAGAAGUUAUCAAGGGUUAAUGUGUGUAAUGUGUACUUUUACUUUUUCUUAAGUGUGUAAUAUGUACUACUUUCUGUACACGUGUAGCACGUAUUUUAUGUCAAAAAAAGAGAAGGAAAUAUCCCAAUUCAUAUUGACUCUCACACCUUCCGCUUUA